Long non-coding RNA from Homo sapiens (human), 2211 nucleotides. The record is from Ensembl. NCBI's taxonomy places the organism in Eukaryota, Metazoa, Chordata, Mammalia, Primates, Hominidae.
AGGAAGUGAGGGCGCCGCGGACCUGUCCGGCCGUGCGCAUGCGCCGCACGCCCGCCCCGCAAGUUUAUCAACCUUUCUUAAUAAAGGAACGUCAGCCACAUCGCUGUUAAAGGCUAUAUAACACUCCGCUGUGCAGCUCAACCAUGAAGUGUUGAAUGAUUCUGGAGUUCAGCUGAAGGGAGGUUUCUUCAAUGUCAAUAAAGGAAAAGGCACAGGCACAGGAGGGCGCCACCUGAAGGAAGGGACAAGAUGCCAUAAAAUCAUAGAUGGCUCCAGAGGAACGGAAGGGAGAAAAAGGGUGGGCCGUUCACUUCUGAGCUUCACCCCACUGUGACCCCAAAACCUAUGGAGAGAAAUACCAUCAUUAGAAGACAAAAGGAUUUAAUGUGAAAUAUAAUGACAGAAGAACUAUUACCACCAAUAUCUCUGAUCAAUUGCUUAGUUUCUGCCAUUAUUACAGAAAGUGAUUUCUACCCAUUUAUAAUGCAAUCCUUACAACAUUAUGAAAGAUAUUUUAUUACUUCCCUGUUUUCAGAUGAGAAAAUGGAGGGACAAACAGUUCAAGUACUUUGCCAUAGGUUACAUACCUACGAGGAGGUGAACCAGGAUUCUAGACCAAGUCUUAGCUCCCUGCUUUGCAUAAAUCAUUCCACCUGCCUUGCUUCUCCAGCCCGUUUUCCUUUCUGUAAACAUUAACUAAAUCCCUCAGUGACCAAGCUCCACCUGAAAUACUACACUAAGGCUGGGCAUGGUGGCUCAUGCCUGUAAUCCCAGCACUUUGGGAGGCCGAGGUGGGCAGAUCAUUUGAGGUCGGGAGUUCGAGACCAGCCUGACCAACACAUAGAGAAACCCUGUCUCUACUAAAAAAAAAAAAAUACAAAAAUUAGCAGGGCGUGGUGGUGCAUGCCUGUAAUCCCAGCUACUCGGGAGGCUGAGGCAUGAGAAUCACUUGAACCCAGGGGGCAGAGGUUGAUUGCGCCAUUGCACUCCAGCCUGGGCAAAAAGAGCGAAACUCCAUCUUAAAAAAAAAUAAUAAUAAUAAUACACUACUCAUCUAUAAAACAGCCACAAUUAUCACCUACUUCACUGUGUUAUUGUGAGCACUGACUACAAUAAUAGGUAGAACUUAGGAAAUUGCCAAUUCCAACUGUCUUUGGCUAUAAAAAGCAACAAUUACAUAGGAAACAUAAUCAGUAAAAGUUUGGGUAAAACUUAAAUGUUUGGUAAACUCUUAAAUAAAUGUAUGUACCUGAUUAUCUUGGCUUUUGACAUUUGCUUUUUUUUCUUUUAAUUUGAGAGUUUGGGGCAUUUUUGUUGACAAUUGCUGUUUUAAUAUUCAAACUCGCAAAGUUGUGUAUGAUAGAAGCUGACAGUCAGACCCCGGGCUUGGUCAGCCUUAAGUUUUAAUCCCUUCAUUUUCUCAUCUAUAAAAUAAAGACAGUGUCCGGGCACUGUGGCUCACGCCUGUAAUCCCAGCACUUUGGGAGGCCAUGGCAGACGGAUCACCUGAGGUCAGGAGUUCGAGACCAGCCUGGCCAGCAUGGCAAAAGCCCAUCUCUACUAAAAAUACAAAAAUUAGCCAGACGUGGUGACGUGCACCUGUAAUCUCAGCUACUUGCGAGGCUGAGACAGGAGAAUCACUUGAACCCAGGAGGUGGAGGUUGCAGUGAGAAGAGAUCACGCCACUGCACUCCAGCCUGGGUGACAAAGCAAGACCAUCUCAAAGAAAAAAAAAAAAAUGAAGAAACUAAUGGUACUCAUUGUCAGAUGUAAAUUAUUUCAUGUAGAGUACUUAGCACAGGGCACAGAAAAUUUAAGAGCUCAGUAAAUAUUAACAUUUUCUAUUACUUAUUAUUAUUGUUUUUAUUAACAGACUUGCUUUCAUUAAGAUGCUGUUGGUAUAAAGCUGCCCACUGCAGCAUUAUUUAUAAUAAAAGCCAGACACAAAUUAAAUUUCCCACUAUAGGGAAAGGGCAUAGUAGGAUUCUGAAAGAACCAUCUUUAGAAUUAAUGAAAAUCACUUUAAUUACAAUGUAAGCCCCUGCUUUGCUACUUGGGGGCAGUACGAUUUUGAGCAAGUCAUUUAUUUUCUCUGGACCUGUUUCCUCACCUCAGAAAUGAAGGGUUUGCUCUCAAUGACUCCCAUGUCUUCUCAUGAUUUAAAGUUACAUAGUCCUGGCCAGACAGGGUGGCUCACGCCUAUAAUCCCAG